GACGAACGCUGGCGGCGUGCUUAACACAUGCAAGUCGAACGAAGGGCGAUGGAAGCUUGCUUCUAUCAAUCUUAGUGGCGAACGGGUGAGUAACGCGUAAUCAACCUGCCCUUCAGAGGGGGACAACAGUUGGAAACGACUGCUAAUACCGCAUACGAUCUGACCUCGGCAUCGAGGAUAGAUGAAAGGUGGCCUCUACAUGUAAGCUAUCACUGAAGGAGGGGAUUGCGUCUGAUUAGCUAGUUGGAGGGGUAACGGCCCACCAAGGCGAUGAUCAGUAGCCGGUCUGAGAGGAUGAACGGCCACAUUGGGACUGAGACACGGCCCAGACUCCUACGGGAGGCAGCAGUGGGGAAUCUUCCGCAAUGGACGAAAGUCUGACGGAGCAACGCCGCGUGAGUGAUGACGGCCUUCGGGUUGUAAAGCUCUGUUAAUCGGGACGAAAGGCCUUUUUGCGAAUAGUGAGAAGGAUUGACGGUACCGGAAUAGAAAGCCACGGCUAACUACGUG
RNAcentral lists this ribosomal RNA (510 nucleotides) under uncultured bacterium. Its description in RNAcentral is "partial 16S ribosomal RNA". It matches the Rfam family "Bacterial small subunit ribosomal RNA", at positions 28 to 507 of the family's 1533-position model. The record is from RNAcentral.